This 75-nucleotide transfer RNA is filed under the name Gammaproteobacteria bacterium. RNAcentral describes it as "tRNA-Asn". It matches the Rfam family "tRNA". From Rfam's summary of the family: Transfer RNA (tRNA) molecules are approximately 80 nucleotides in length. Lineage: Bacteria; Pseudomonadati; Pseudomonadota; Gammaproteobacteria. RNAcentral also lists the same sequence under 2 other names. The record is from RNAcentral.
UCCCCUGUAGCUCAGCGGUAGAGCAGUUGACUGUUAAUCAAUUGGUCGUGUGUUCGAUCCACACCGGGGGAGCCA